RNAcentral lists this long non-coding RNA (784 nucleotides) under Parus major (Great Tit). RNAcentral's name for it is "lncRNA (ENSPMJG00000004980.1)". The record is from RNAcentral. Lineage: Eukaryota; Metazoa; Chordata; Aves; Passeriformes; Paridae.
UGGCUCUUUCCUGUCAUUUUUGGUGAGCCCUGUCCCAAGUGAUUGGUGACCACAAUAUAAUUAUGUAGACUCCAUGGCACCACCAUGUACAACCCCACUGUCUACACAAGUCCUGCAGAACCAUCUUGUUCCUCGUGUUAUUGCUCGUUAUUCUCAUUUCCCCACGUUUUUUUGGUGAGUUAUUUGAGUUACCGCUCUGUGUUCAAAAAGACCUUUAUAUUUUCACCCAGUUUUCUCAAUAGAUAAUCAUGGAUAAAUGGAACUCUUGCCUCAGUCUUCUACCCUGAAGUAUUUUCUGAUCACCACACCAAGCAAGGCUGUUGGGAUCUUUUAGGUUUCCAAAACCUGAUGGAGGAAUUUGGUCACGUCUUCAUCUAUUGCAAGUGACAUUUGGGCUGCCCCAUCUGCAAAACACCUGAUGGCAUCAUGAGCUGCUCUGGGAAACAUCUGGUCUUGAGCUGGGAUUUUUUUUGAAGUAUAAAUUAUAUUUCUCUGAUCCCUGGGCUGGGGGACCACAGAGCUCUGAUUUCACAAAUCUUUCCCUGCAAUGAGCCAAGAGAUUGAAAAUGGAUCAAGACUUUUUUGGAUUUUUAACACACUUCUGGAGAGAAGUGGAAACAACCUGGGAUUCCUAUUUUUGGGGUUUGCACUGGUUCCACCCACGAUGGAAAAUGCUGGAAAUGAGAAGAGUGAAAAGCCCAAACUGGUGUCAGGCUGACAAGGUAAGAUUUAUUUCAGAGUGGUCACACCCGGUAUUUUCUUGCUUUCCCUUUGACUGAUAAAU